GAAAAAAGAAAAAAAGGAAGCUGGAGAAACAUAUUUCUGCGACGUUAACAGCCAUUCUUGUUUUCUCCGUGUGUGUGUGCUUUGUCUGUCUGCAGGGCCCUUGCAGACAUCCUGAGGCAGCAGGGGCCCAUCCCCAUAUCGCAAUACGACUGUGAGAAUUUCGCAGCGAUGAACGGCUCGCCCAAGGACAACACGCCAGUCAGAACCUCGUCCAAGAACCACUACACCCCGGUGCACGCCUCCAAAUCCAACCACGGACUCCACUAUGGAAAGGAGAGCAUCCGGAGCAGUGGAGGCGCUGACCUUCACAACUUCAUCUCCUCGGGCUUCGUGACAUUAGGUCGGGGCCAUCAGAAAGGUAGAGUACCUUUUCUUUCUUCCUCUUCUUCUCUUUCCUCACACAGGAGAUUGAAUGAACUCCCCUUAUCUACCAACACGGCGCUCUAUACCUGAUGAAU
This 458-nucleotide long non-coding RNA is filed under the name Scophthalmus maximus (turbot). Its description in RNAcentral is "lncRNA (ENSSMAG00000028604.1)". The record is from RNAcentral. Lineage: Eukaryota; Metazoa; Chordata; Actinopteri; Pleuronectiformes; Scophthalmidae.